This 208-nucleotide microRNA precursor is filed under the name Oryza nivara. Its description in RNAcentral is "MIR812 microRNA precursor family". It matches the Rfam family "MIR812 microRNA precursor family". Lineage: Eukaryota; Viridiplantae; Streptophyta; Magnoliopsida; Poales; Poaceae. The record is from Rfam by way of RNAcentral.
AAAAAGACAAACCCUGGGUUUCCGUGUCCAACGUUUGACCGUCCGUCUUAUUUCAAAAAAUUAUGAAAAAAAAAUUAAAAAGACAAGUCACGCAUAAAGUAUUAAUCAUGUUUUAUCAUCUAACAACAAUAAAAAUACUAAUUAUAAAAAAAUUCAUAUAAGACGGACAGUUAAACGUUGGACACGGAAACUCAGGAUUUGUCUUUUU